Molecule: small nuclear RNA, 74 nt
Organism: Marmota marmota marmota (Alpine marmot)
Lineage: Eukaryota; Metazoa; Chordata; Mammalia; Rodentia; Sciuridae
Source: Ensembl
GUGCUCACUUUGGCAGCACACAUACUAAAAUUGAAAUGAUACAGCAAAAAUUAGCACGGCCCCUAAGCAAGAAU